ACUAGGCUGAAAUCCCAGGAGUCCUGCAGCGCCCCAGCGUGCUUUCCUCUUGUGCACCUUCCAGCUCAGCUCUCUCUUGGCUUGCUUCCAGAUCCCCAGGGAGAUUUAGCAAGUCCUCAGAGGAUACAGCCUCGUCGUUACCGGCACAAAUCACCCAGCUAGUAACUGAACAGCCAGGAAUCACUGUCAGUCAGGUGGCAGAAGCGUGGUAAGUGUGAGUUUCCAGCCUCUGGCAGCUCAGAACUGUUUGUUUCAACAACUCUCCCAUGGGAGGGCAUCUGAGGAACACGCACAGGGCUCCUGCUCCCAGUUUCCCUUGCACACCAGAUUAGGAAUCCUCCCACCCAUGCCUGCCAGAGCCAGGAGGUCGUAGGGCAGCCUGAUUUUUAUCCAGAGAGCUCGUGGCAUUGCUUGUGUGAGCCAAACCCUGGGGUCAGAAGGACAGAAAAGAAUGAAGGAAAGAGUUACCGCUGCUUUUGCCUCGGCAGCUUUGGCUUUCUUCAGCCUGGCUUUGCAGGCAUCCAGAUCCAGGCGGCAGUUCUGCAGGAUCCUCCGUUCUUUCUGGAAGAGACAGAAAAUGGGGGGGCUCAGAGACCUCGCUCGCCCACGCCGUGUCGCUGGGAACCUGCCCUCAGGUGCUGGGAUGAGCAGAGCCACGGCUCCCAGGAGCAGCUUCCAGCAGGGUUAGAUGAAGCUUCUCAUGAACACGCAGCCAGCCGAGGGGAUUAGAGGUAAGUUACACUGCCUGAUCCUACGAGCUGCUGCCAGUGGAGGUCUGAGAUCUCAGGUGGCAACAGGUCUCAGCUGAUCCUCGGAGCUGGUUGCCCAAGUCCACGUCCCCAGGGGAGAGCAGGGUGGAAGAACAGCUUGUGAUGAAGUCUGCCUGCUCGAGCAGAACCCACCCUGUUCCAUCUCUCCGCACUUAGAGGAUUUCUGUUGCUAGGAAUUUGUUUUCAUAACACUUUCAGAGAUUUGAUUGCAUUUUUGCUUCCCACUGGACAGAAAUAAGCUCCCCUGUGAGGCUGGGAGAUGCAGGGGAACAGCCAGGCUCGCCGUGCAGUCCCUCCUCCUGACUGUAGAAAGCCAGAUUAAAAAUAUUUUGUCUUGCUGCUCCCAGACCCGAAGCACUGAUGGUUCUUACAGCUCCAAAUACCCCAAACCCUACAAGUGGGAGCCUUGUUUGCUCAGUACCAGGCUGACUGCAUGGCUUGGUGCAUACCCACCCAGGAGAGUCAGGGCAGGCAGAGCCUGUGCGAGCACAGUGCCAGGGGAGAACCUCGAGCUCCUCGAUCCUGCUGCCACAAAACUCCUCUGGUUCCACAGGAGCAGCUCAGGGAGGCUGGGUCAGGGUGUGGAGAGGCUGCUGCUGGUCCCUGAAGCUGACCCAGUUGAGCAGCAGCCCUGGUUUUGUGCAGGGAGGCUGAAGGAGCGAUUAAUAAUGCAGGGCAGCCUUUAGCUGAGUGCCACUCGCACUCUCCAGGAAGAGGAGAGUCACGCUGCGUUCCAGGGCAUCAAUAAUUCAGCCAAAGGUUGGGUUUCCUCCGGGAGGCUUGGCUGGCCAGCAGGAAUGCUGGAGGCGUUCUCAGGGACCGAGGGGACAGGCAGGCUGAUGGAGCAGGAGAGCAACACUCGGGCAACAGGCACGGAUUGCAAAAGCCACAGCCGUGCCGGAUUGCAGUCAGGGCAGCUGCCAGCAGUUACAGCUUGGGGGAAAGCUGCUCUUUCCCCACAUGAGUUGGUAAAGGCACAGCUGGGAUGCCAGGAGGGUGAGAGAGCAGAGCAGAGCUGGAUGCGUCCCUCUGCACUACAGCUCUGAUAUCAGAAAACCUGAGGCCGCCAAGGUUAGGGCUGAAGAUCCCACACGCGUUGUUUUUGUUGCUGGAAGCGUUGGUGCCUUCCUCCCUCUAAGCCAAGGGGAUGAAAUCCCACUGCUUCCACGCCUGUUUCACGCAGAGCAGCCUCCCUGCCUUGUCUCUUCCAGGCUUGUGUGAUCCUUCCACGCCUCUCCCCUUCAGCAGGCCCAGGCUGGGAGACCCGAAACCGGGAGAUGUCUGCUGCCUCUGCCACUAGAUUGGGGCUGCUGGAGCCUCCUAACAGCUCCCUCGCGCCCAGGCUGUUGGAACAUCGCUCGUUUGGUGCUCAGAGGCAGAUUCAGCCCCUGUACAGGGCUGCAGUAGGAAAGAAGCCACUGCCACUUAGUCAGCAUCUAAAAACUACCUGGAUCUCUGCUGCCUUGGAACAGACACAGGGUGUGCUUCAAGGGUUUGGUCACCGGGAGUCAGGGCAGCCAGGCUGCGAGCCAAGCAGAACUGUGUUAGAGGACAGGAGGAAGCCAUUAGCAGGACAGCUUUGUUAACUCAGGAGCAAAGCAUUUAGGAAAAUAAAAAAAUCUUGCCCUUGUGGAUUCAUAGACAGUGUUUCAAACGGAAACAGGACCCGGCCUGUACCUCUUGACUUCAAAACCCUUCCUUUCAGUCACCUCCCGGGGUCUUGAAUUUGAAGGUGUCCAGUAGGCAAGGCGUUAACCCCGGCACGGGCAGCGAGCAGAGGGGACAGGUCUCUUUCAUCACCAGAUUUGGAGAGCUGGGGAAGGCUGCCUUGCCUCAGGAGCUUCAGGCCAGAACAAGUCAACCUCCAGCUGCCAGCGGUAACUGCAUUAGCAGGGGGACACGCACCCAAAAGCUCUACUGGUGCUCGGGCAAUUUUGCCUGGAGCAAGUUUCCAUCAGAAGUGACAGGAGACAGAAACCCACAGUGAUUGCCAGACCUCCCUGAGAGAGCCUGGCUGCAACAGAUGCACCCGGACCGUUACUUUGGAGGAAGAGACGCCGGUUCCUGGAGGGAGGCUGCAGCUGCCAUCGUCGCCUUCUCUCCAGAGGUUUGGGAUUGAGGGAUCGAGCCCGCUUACUGGUAGCUGGAAGGAGCAGGUGACCAGAGGUUGUGUUCUCCUGCUGCCUGAGCUACAAAAAGCCACGUAAAGGUGGUGAUGGUUUGAGUUUUGUCAUGAGCCAGGUUAAACCUAGGCCUAAAAUCCUUCCUGCUCUUCACCUCAGGCUGUACUCGACAGGCUUCAAACCAGGACAGCUCUGGGACCUCUGGGAGGCGACCCCAGGGGGGUGUCUGACCACCUUCUGCCUCCUUUCCCCUGACCUGAGCAGUGCUACAGCCACAGCCCUUCCUGCAGUGCCAGCCAGCUCUCCUUGUGUUGGCCAGACGUCUCCACCAGACAGCAACAGCUAAUGCUGUCUGAGCAGCACCGCACAUAAUGGCCAGUCCAUUUAUCUCCCGCUCGCCGCAGUUCCCGUAAAGCAUCGCUCUGUGAAAUGCCUGGAGCUGAGGAAGAGCAUCCCCGGCACUACAGACAACGCAGCUCGUUCCAGCCAGGCCAUUCUCCUCCCCUGGAAGAUCUGCUGGGCAAGGAGAACGCUACAAACCCGAUCCCUGCAGGCCUCAGCUGUCACCUCUGGCUCCUGGAGGUGGUGACGGGGCGAUGCUCGCCCCUGCUGGGUGAGGGCUGUGUGGGACGGCCCCAAACAGGCCCCACUUCUGCUCAGGAUUACAUCUCAAGAGGUGGGGCUCUGCCUCAGCGAGGUGCAUCUCCCCCCUUGACCAUUUUGUUUCGAGUAAUUACUACCUUAAUUAGUCACACGAAUCGUCGCGUCCAAGAUGAUGUGGAGUAGGUGUAGCAGGCAGAAGCCGCUAUUUAUAAACGCCUCCUUGCUCUAGAAGCGGCGUGCAGACGCUGUUCCCAUGCCUGUCUCCUUCCUACGCCUUGAAGCUCAGAAACACUUAUCAGAGUCGUACAAUGAGCCUUCCAAACACACGAUUUCUGUGCAGCAUUUCUGCCUUUCUUCUGCCACCAAGGUCAUUUGCAUGAGAACAGCAUCUUUAAGCCUUCCAUCUGCUCCUGAUUUUGCACCUGUAGUUAAUAUGUCUCUGUUCCUAACACAUGACUCACCGGCACGAUUACAGGAGAUGCGAUCUGUUUACAGGAGAGCGAUUCCUAAACGAGCCAGGAUUACUCCGUGGCACAGACGGGUUGGACUGAGGCAGCGCUGCUUUGUUUUUGUCAACCCCCACACCUCGGGUAGAAGAGGAUCCCGGUCCUGAAGCCACCAGCUGGACUGGAGCUCUCAGGCAGGAUCCCAACCACCUCCGAUUUGCUUCCCUUCUCCUCCCCUGCCUGGCCAGGAGCAGUUUUCCUUCCUAGCUCUUACGCCUGGGGAGCGGACGGAGCCGGCAGCCACAUCUCAGCACCUGCUGCACGCUUCGUUCCUCACGGGUAGCCAAGUUUCUUCAGUCUACGGUUUCAGGACAGCACUGCAGCCCCAGCAAGGUGCUGCCAGCAGGCUAGGGAAGGAUGAUUUGAUGCCGCUGUACUCCAGCGAGGUGCUACCUGCUCAGCCUCAGCGGCUCCUUCCCACCUCUAACAGCGCUGUGUUUUGGGGGGGGUCCUGGAGCUCCUGCACGACUGAAAGGCGACCCGUGAAAGGCUUCUACCACAUCUGCCUACCGAAAAGGAACAGGUCCUCAACAGGGCUGGCCGCUUGCCCAGCCAGUUAGCUGAGCAGCUAUUUGCAAUACAUCUGUACUUUAAAUAACGACCACCACAACGCAAGCCCUA
Anas platyrhynchos (mallard) is the source of this 4623-nucleotide long non-coding RNA. RefSeq lists it as uncharacterized. NCBI's taxonomy places the organism in Eukaryota, Metazoa, Chordata, Aves, Anseriformes, Anatidae. The record is from RefSeq and is a predicted model, not a curated record.